UAACGGUUACUCUUGGCAACACGCUCAAGCUCAUCCUUCUUCUUGAUGGCGUAAGAGUUGGAAGAGCCCUUAGCAGCAUUGAUGAUUUCUUCAGCCAAGCAUUCAGAAAUGGACUUGACGUUACGGAAAGCAGCCUCACGAGCACCGAUAGUGAUAAGAGCAAGAGCUUGGUUGACACGACGAAGAGGAGAAACAUCAACGGCUUGACGACGAACAGUACCAGCACUACCAAUACGAGUGGAGUCUUCACGAGGACCACAGGCAGCAACGGCAUCAACCAAAACUUGGAGAGGGUUUU
RNAcentral lists this long non-coding RNA (298 nucleotides) under Schizosaccharomyces pombe (fission yeast). Lineage: Eukaryota; Fungi; Ascomycota; Schizosaccharomycetes; Schizosaccharomycetales; Schizosaccharomycetaceae. The record is from RNAcentral.